RNAcentral lists this non-coding RNA (31 nucleotides) under Rattus norvegicus (Norway rat). The record is from RNAcentral. Lineage: Eukaryota; Metazoa; Chordata; Mammalia; Rodentia; Muridae.
UCACAGGACGUCCACUGUCUAACCAAGGCCU